AAUUUUCCCUGUUUUAAUUUACUGUUUCUUCCCAAUCUCUCUCUCGUCGUAAAGGUCGAAAAAAAACCCUCUUGCCACCGGUUCGCCACCGCCUGCGGCAAAUCCGCCUCUCUUGUCGCCGUGAAGUUUCCUGCCUGCGGUGUUUGGUUGUCUUCGAUCUCAAACUCUCGAUUAUACCGUCUGCUCUUUUAUUGUGUGGCACCUGGAAUCUCUAAAUUCUGAAGCCUCUCUUUGACCGACUUUGGUGAAAUACUCG
This 256-nucleotide unclassified non-coding RNA is filed under the name Hevea brasiliensis (rubber tree). The record is from RNAcentral. Lineage: Eukaryota; Viridiplantae; Streptophyta; Magnoliopsida; Malpighiales; Euphorbiaceae.